AGAGUUUGAUCCUGGCUCAGGAUGAGCGUUGGCGGCGUGCCUAACACAUGCAAGUCGAACGGGAAGCUCGACUUCGGUUGAGUGGAGAGUGGCGCACGGGUGAGUAACACGUAACUGAUCUGCCCUAAAGAACGGGAUAACUAUUGGAAACAGUAGCUAAUACCGUAUAACCUCGCAUUGUUUAGAAAUUUGCGAGAAAAGCUCCGGCGCUUUAGGAUGAGGUUGCGUCCCAUCAGCUAGUUGGUAAGGUAACGGCUUACCAAGGCGACGACGGGUAGGGGACCUGAGAGGGUGACCCCCCACACUGGAACUGAGACACGGUCCAGACUCCUACGGGAGGCAGCAGUGAGGAAUAUUGCACAAUGGACGCAAGUCUGAUGCAGCGACGCCGCGUGGGCGAUGAAGGUUUUCGGAUCGUAAAGCCCUUUUCUAUGUGACGAGAACGGACGGUAGCAUAGGAAUAAGUGUCGGCUAACUACGUGCCAGCAGCCGCGGUAAAACGUAGGACGCAAACGUUAUCCGGAGUUACUGGGCGUAAAGCGCGAGCAGGCGGUUUGGUAAGUUACCUAUGAAAGCUCCCGGCUAAACUGGGAGAGGAUGGGUGAUACUGCUAGACUAGAGUGAGGAAGAGGGAAGUAGAAUUCCGGGUGUAGUGGUGAAAUGCGUAGAUAUCCGGAGGAAUACCAGUGGCGAAGGCGGCUUCCUGGUCCUCAACUGACGCUGAGACGCGAAAGCGUGGGUAGCGAACGGGAUUAGAAACCCCGGUAGUCCACGCCGUAAACGAUGUACAUUAAACGUUCGCAUGCGUGUAGUAUGUGAGUGUUGAAGCUAACGCGAUAAAUGUACCGCCUGGGGAGUACGGUCGCAAGGCUAAAACUCAAAGGAAUUGACGGGGGCCCGCACAAGCAGCGUAGCGUGUGGUUUAAUUCGAGUCUACGCGAAAAACCUUACCUGGGUUUGACAUGAUAGUAGUACGGAAGCGAAAGCGGAAGGACUCUUCGGAGAGCUAUCACAGGUGCUGCAUGGUUGUCGUCAGCUCGUGCCGUGAGGUGUUCGGUUAAGUCCGCAAACGAGCGCAACCCUCGGCGUUAGUUAUACGUGUCUAGCGCGACUGCCCGUGACAAACGGGAGGAAGGUGGGGAUGACGUCAAAUCAGCAUGGCCUUUAUAUCCAGGGCUACACACACGCUACAAUGGUCAGUACAAUGGGUCGCUAAGCCGCGAGGUGGAGCCAAUCCUACAAAGCUGAUCCCAGUUCGGAUUGCAGGCUGCAACUCGCCUGCAUGAAGUCGGAGUUGCUAGUAACCGCAUAUCAGCACGGUGCGGUGAAUACGUUCCCGGGCCUUGUACACACCGCCCGUCACGUCAUGGAAGUUGGUCACGCCUAAAGUCGGGAAGCUAACCUAACGGAGGCUACUGCCUAGGGCAGGAUUGAUGACUGGGACGAAGUCGUAACAAGGUA
Molecule: ribosomal RNA, 1461 nt
Filed under: metagenome
Description: bacterial SSU rRNA
Rfam family: Bacterial small subunit ribosomal RNA
Source: RNAcentral